CAGAGCUCUUCUUCAGGUCUGGAAAGGUACUUUCAGCGUCACAGCUAAAUGCAAGCUGCAACAGAUUGUUUAGUAUAAGUAGCUAAUACGUAUUCUAAGGUACCAUUCAAGGUGACUGUAAACUUUUUGGGAUAGGGAUUGUCUCUUACAGUAUGUUUGCAUAGUGAUCAGCACAAUGGGGCCUCUUGGCACUACUGGAACACAAAUCAACUAUGAUGAUAAUCACAGUGCAUAAAUUCAGGCACAUACAUAAGUCUUCGCAGAAUCAGGACCUAAGCCUCUGAUCCUGUAAGCAAAUCUGGGCAGGUGCCACAUGGAGCUGUCUGCAGGACUCCAGCCUAACUUGAGAGCUCAUGCAGCAAGUGUGGGUCACAAAAAGGAAGGGGAGAGGCAGGAGAAGAGAUCUAAUAAUGAGAUGAAAUGGUUGUUCAAUGAGGCACUUCUUAAAAGAGAUAUUGAGCAUAGUGCUACUCUGUACAGGCAUAAAGGGGCCAUAUGGGUGGAUCCCUUUGCAGGCUUGGGACUGAAGGCAUGUACACAUCUUGUACACAUGGCUGCAUAGUGAGGGUUUUGAUUCAAAGCUUUAUUCCACUUUUUGUAGGCGAUACAAUAAUUUCUUUCACUGUCUGAGUAGUAAGUAGAAUAAAGAGUAUAUAUGGGAAAGGAGCUAUUGGUCUUGUGCAGAGUGUCCGCACAUAUUACAGCCCCACCCAAAAAACUAUUGUAAAAUAACACUAUUUCAGAUGUAGAAAAUAACCUCCUAUUUGUUUAAGCUAAAUCCUACAAGCCAAAUGAAACCUGCAAAGUUCCCAGAAUUAAAAAAGACAAAGGUCAGAUUCUCACUUAGGAAUAUUUCAUCUACAAGAAAGAGAAUAUAAAAUAGCAUGUUUUGAGGGAUGACGAGAACUGCUUCAGGAACAAUCUGCAGACCUUUAACAGAACCGUAUUUCUGAAAAGAGAAAAAAUGCAGCCCCUGGGAAAUCCCUUUUUGACAUAUGCUUCUUAUGUUCAAACGCAGUAAUGGGUCUGCUAUGCUAUGAGUCAUCCAGCACAAGAGUUAUAUGUGUUUCUUUAAAUAUACGGAAAGUAGCUGAAGGCAUGUAUGAAGCUGCAGAGUGGUUAUCUAUUAAGAAUCUCAACAAAUACCUGCAUUCAUUGAACUAGUUUCAGAGUAGCAGCCGUAGACUUUCCUGAUGGAAAAGAUCUCAUCUAGUUUAUUUGCAUCAUUCUGUUAAAAUAGAUUAGCAGAGUAGAAUCUGGACUGUUUACACUAAUUGAACAUACAAUUUAGUAGACGAGAGGCCCAUUGUGCUGCUAUCCAAGUCUCAGUGCUGUUUUACAGAGAAUUUGUGUGUGUGCAAAUAGCACAUUUUGAUUUUUCUUCCUCCUGAAGAAUUCUGUCAAAACUAGAGCAGGCUGAAUUAUCUGUAGGGAACAUUUGUUGGCUAUGUUGCUCUUUUUUCCAUUUGCAAAUAAUCUGUGAGCUCCUCCUGCUUUCUGCCUACCGAUUUGUUAUUAAUUUGGAGCCACCAUUUUCAGCCACCAGGUAGUUUGCAAGCUGCUUAGUUUGACUCUGCAAUUCACAGGAUAUGAUCAGUCACAUAAGUCACAAGGUACUAUUUCUUCUACCUGACAGGAUCAUUGAAAUGUUUUUAAACAGAAGCAUGACAAAUAGUGAAUAUUUUUGGUCCGACUCAAAGACGCAUGUAAAUACUGGUAAACAGAUGAAACACCUAUUCUACAAUAAGUUCAAAUGAAUAUUUGCAAACAGUGAAUAACAAAGGCAGGGGACGCUAAUAUGGUUACAAGGAAUACAGAGGGACAUGUAUUACACUACAGUAUGUAUAGCUCUGAUCACAGAUCCACACUGACUGGGUUAGCCUUUUUUUACUAUCCCAUCUGUGCACUAAAUCUCAGUGGUGCACAGCUGGGUUAUCAAAUGCAAAAAAAAAAAAAAUCCCUAUCUCCAAUAUAUUGAAUGGGUGAAGAAAGCCAUUAACAGAGAAAAAGAAAACACAGGUAGCUGAGAGAGGCAUGAGCUGCAGAAGGAAAAAGUGACAUUUUCUCUACUGCCUGUGUGGGUCUCAACCCUUGGUGAAGCUCAUCAUGGGGUUAUAUGUGUCUGUUGCGGGGAGGGUGUUUGUGUGUGUCCUGUCCGUCUCUUGUGCAUCCACUCUGAGCAGGAACUCAGCUGUGCCCACUGGUCCAUUUUUAGGGAAAUCUCUGUCUCUCUUUUAUUUUGUGAGAGCAGUUUUAGGAGAGUUGGCCUUUGGGGGGAUGUCUUGAUGCUUUGUGGCCCCACUAGGCCUUUCUUUCCUUUAAGUUCUGUGCAGCCUUAUCCACUUUGUUGCAGGACCCCAUCUUUCCUUGUGCUUCAGGAUAGCACAAAUUAAACCCACCAGCAUCAAGUUAUGUCCUUCCCAUCAUGUUGUUAUGUCUGCAGUAGGACAAACCCACUCAGCACCUGUUCUGCCUCAGGGAGAGAGGCCCUGAGGGUCGGGCUUUCUCCAAAUAAACAUGAUCUCAAGAAAGCUGUUUCAAACGCCACCUGUUGGAGGCAGACAUGCAGGUCUCAUCUCCCAGUAGCAAGGGGCCAACGACUGAGUAACACCAAGGUCUCAGUUCCAGUCCACCAAGUCCAGCACUACUAGCCAAGUGAGUUCCAUGUCUGCUGAAGUUUGGAUAUGUAAGAACAAAAUGAUGAUUGAUGGCCCAUAUGGCAGCUAGCCACUGCAUAAGCAUUUGAAAUUUCUGGCAGUUUCCCAGAACUGCUGGUAGAAAAAAUGUUAACACCACUUUUAGGGACACGUUUUCAAAAAGAGUGGUCUCCAUGCAACUUUUUCACACAUGAUCCAGUUUUUUCUCCAUAUCCAUCUAUUUGUGCCUCUAACUACCAGACUUGGACUCAUAAUCAGGUAGGAAGGGGUACAAGUAUUUAGACUUACACUUACACGUUCAUUGUGUGGGUACAAUUUUUGUAUGUAAAAAUUGCACCUUUAAAAAAUGGAAGAUCAGGUCUCAGUUUGUAUCAAAAGUUCUCUAUAAUCGGCUUGUUGCUGCAUUCUGAACUUUGGCAUGAAAAAUAUCACUGCUGCAUGGAAUGCCAUAGUGAUGUGAG
Molecule: long non-coding RNA, 3118 nt
Organism: Dermochelys coriacea (leatherback sea turtle)
Lineage: Eukaryota; Metazoa; Chordata; Testudines; Dermochelyidae
Exons: 2
Source: RefSeq, a predicted model, not a curated record